RNAcentral lists this non-coding RNA (27 nucleotides) under Homo sapiens (human). The record is from RNAcentral. Lineage: Eukaryota; Metazoa; Chordata; Mammalia; Primates; Hominidae.
UGAGUUUAGACAUGUUGAUUUUGAUGU